GUUUUAAUAGUUUAAUAAAAAUAAAGGUUUGUGGGACUUUAGAUGUGUAUUACUUAAAACA
This 61-nucleotide transfer RNA is filed under the name Downesia tarsata. RNAcentral describes it as "tRNA-His". Lineage: Eukaryota; Metazoa; Arthropoda; Insecta; Coleoptera; Chrysomelidae. The record is from RNAcentral.